Ailuropoda melanoleuca (giant panda) is the source of this 105-nucleotide non-coding RNA. Lineage: Eukaryota; Metazoa; Chordata; Mammalia; Carnivora; Ursidae. The record is from Rfam.
GUGGCUCACUUCGGCAGCACAUACUCUAAAAUUGGAAUGAUACAGAGAUUAUUAUGGCCCCUGCACAAGGAUGACAUGCAACUCUGUGAAGCGUUCCAUAAAACA